RNAcentral lists this ribosomal RNA (504 nucleotides) under uncultured bacterium. RNAcentral's name for it is "bacterial SSU rRNA". It matches the Rfam family "Bacterial small subunit ribosomal RNA", at positions 28 to 524 of the family's 1533-position model. The record is from RNAcentral.
GACGAACGCUGGCGGCGUGGAUUAGGCAUGCAAGUCGAACGGUAUCAUCCUUUCGGGGGUGAGAGAGUGGCGAACUGGUGAGUAACACGUAGGUUAUCUACCCUCAAGACGGGGACAACCCAGGGAAACUUGGGCUAAUACCGGAUGUGAGCAAUUUUUAGUUGUUUGAAAGGUGGCGUAAGCUGUCGCUUGGGGAUGAGCCUGCGUCCUAUUAGUUAGUUGGUGAGGUAACGGCUCACCUAGGCAAUGAUAGGUAGGCGGCCUUAACGGGUGGUCGCCCACACUGGGAUUGAGAUACGGCCCAGACUCCUACGGGAGGCAGCAGUCGAGAAUAGUCUACAAUGGUCGGAAGACUGAUAGUGCGACGCCGCGUGAACGAUGAAUCCCUUCGGGGUGUAAAGUUCUUUUAUAUGUGAGCAGUGCUUCUUAUAUUAACAGUAUGGGGAGAGAGAUAUUAGCAUAUGAAUAAGCAACGGCUAACUCCGUGCCAGCAGCCGCGGUAAU